CCUCAGACUGCUUCCUUCUUAUAAACUCUUGGUUCCUUAUUUAUCGUUUUUUUGUUUUUGAUUUUUAAGUUGUCUGACCUGAUUUUAUCAUAGUAGUUCCAAAUGCCUUACAGCCCAGUGGAGUCAAGCUAAGGAAGGACAGCAUGAUUUCCACAGGAUUUGUAUUUCUUCCCUCUGGAUAAAGUGAUAGUAGAUCCCAGACUCACUGCCAGCAGGAUCCAAGGUGGUCUUUCCUCCAGUAUUUAAUCUGGUGUCAUCAGGAACCUACACUCAGGUUUUAUUGGAGAGCAAGCCUCAAUAAGAAGUGUGCUUUGAGGAGAAUCAAGGACUUAAUCUAGGCAUAAAAGGUGUUGCUCAGCACAAUACCCUCUACGAGACUGUGUGUAUAUCGCGAGUCGGAGGCCAAACACACCGUAUUUCAUCUGUAGCAUUCAAGACUUCAAACUGGUCCACAACUCCCAAGCCUGUUGCAGAUCUCCAACUCCUGCUUUGUGUGACCCCCGCAGCAUGCUCUCUGCCGGUGGCAUCACAGUCACCACAGCAUCUUUCUGAAGCUAGGAGAGGGCCUGUAGGGGAGUAACAAGUACAUGCACAGAGGAAGCAAAAUACGGGACUUGCCUUACCCCUCUAGGACAGUUCCAGAAGUUAGCGGGGUUUGGUGGAAGGGUAUUUUGGCACCAGCAGAGAGCAUGCUGGGCUGCUGCAAGGAGCAGGAGCUGGCAAUCAACAGCGAGUUUGGAUGUUGGCAACUGAAAUGGGGAGAAAAGGGGGUAAGUUUGAGUUCAAGUGUGGAAUGUGAAUUUCCCCAGGCUCAUUGGGACUCAUGACCCACAAAUCUAAACUAUUUUGGGUGUUGUCCUCUCGGGUGACAUUUUGUAGGGUGUUGCUCAGAAAUAGCGAGGCUUUUCUCCAGUGCUAGAUGCAGAAUACGCACUUCAAGAGGCUUGGGUCGGGCUGUAGCUAUACUUCUUAAGAGCUAUCCCUUGGUUAUUCCUCUGUUACUAGUGGUGGUCCUGAGGGAUGUGUAAGAGGCAGCAGGAUGAAGUAUCUGUAGUGCUUUAUCCCUUAAAGCACAGGAACCCAUGUGGGUGAUCAUAGGGGUUAUUAUUGUGUAGUGCAUCUCCCUUUUUAGGAAAGUUCACACUUGUCUUCCUUUUUUUUCCUGUAAUCGUAGGACUUAAUGGAGGACUUAAUGGUAAUGUUUUCUGAAAGUCGAGUAUUUAUUAUUCCGAAUGACUACUGGGUUAACAUGAAAGAAGUGUAGUUUUAGUUAAGCAUUGAAGUCAGUGUGAAGAAGUGACUGUGGCUCCCCAGUUCAUACUGAAUUAGCAAAUAAUACAAGAGGAUAGCAAGCUCUCUCACACUUAGACACACACAAUGCAGCAUACUGUCAAUAUACAGUGAAUUGUUCAGUUGCAGUGCAGAAUAUUAAUAUCUUGGGGUGAAGAAAAGAAAGUGCUCCAGAUGGGAUGUGGCACUUGGGGAAGUUCUGUGAAGGUGGGUAGGUUUUGAGGAGCUGGGUAUGUUUUUCACACAUCAAUAAGAAGUGGAUAGGCAGAGUAUAGGAGCCUUGCAGGUGUACCUGGCAGCCUGUCCUUAUAAGCAACACAGGCAGUGAGGCUGACGAGUCUGGGAGUUGUGAGAAGAUGACCCGCAGGACGUCACUGAAGAGCAUGGGUUAGUGGAUUUUGGGAGGCAGAUGUGGAGAUAUAAAAUGGGGCUAGAUUAUAGAGAAUCUUCAAAGUUAGCAAAGUUAAGAUUUUGUGUAAUAGGCAGUAGAGAGCUUGUGUAAGCUUUUUUAUUCGAGAUGAGCCAUCUUGCAGACCACUGCUUAAGAAGACUGACUGUGGCAGUUUGCAGUGUGGAAGGGGGAAAGAUGGUGAAAGCUCCAAGUAGGAGGCUAGGGCUGCCAUUCGUGGGUAAGAUGAAGAGGACCAAGACAGUAGAGAUGAUAUAUAGAUAAUUGUAACCAAAUCAGGAGUAAUUGUUGGAACAGCAUAACACAUUUACAUAUUUGCUGAUGUAAUUACUCAAGGGUCAUAUCAUAAAAAGGGGUGGGGGUUUCACAUUAUGGAAACCUUGGAAUUCUCUGUCUUACGGUGGAAGACAGAACCCAGUGUAGUGUAGACAAAAGUCUAAUUUUAAUUCCCAGAGAAAGACUGAUAUCUUAUGGGACAAAUUAGUAUAUUCCCAUUCCUAAUAAUGGUGUACCUAGCUGGUGGGUAAUUGCAGGCUUUCAACCUCCAGUUCAUCUUCAUGAGAUCAAUGUUGAUUCAGAACAAUAAGUGUCAGGUCUAUGACACCUUUAAAGUUAUGCUUAAAUGUGAGUCUGUGACCACUAAUGAAUGACUACAGUUGUUUCAUGACUUGCUAAACAUACCUGGUUUUUCACAAGCAAUAGAUUUUUGAAGGAGAGGUAUUCACAGUGGGUGCUAGGAAGAUACACACAUUAAUUCUGUAGAAUUUAGCUAAAAUGUGUUCAGCCUAAGGGAUGACAUUAACAGAGACUUGUGAUCCUGCUUUGCAUCUCAUGAGUGCUGAGCAGUUGGUAGAGAUGGAUGGUAUUUUCC
Molecule: long non-coding RNA, 2570 nt
Filed under: Homo sapiens (human)
Lineage: Eukaryota; Metazoa; Chordata; Mammalia; Primates; Hominidae
Description: HSALNT0409592
Source: RNAcentral